UAGGGAAUAUUGCACAAUGGGCGAAAGCCUGAUGCAGCAACGCCGCGUGCGCGAAGAAGGCCUUCGGGUCGUAAAGCGCUUUUCGGGGAGAUGAGGAAGGACAGUAUCCCCGGAAUAAGGCUCGGCUAACUACGUGCCAGCAGCCGCGGUAACACGUAGGAGCCUAGCGUUAUCCGAAUUCACUGGGCGUAAAGCGCGUGCAGGCGGCUCGAUAAGUUGGAUGUGAAAGCUCCUGGCUCAACUGGGAGAGGACGUUCAAUACUGUCGGGCUAGAGGGUGGCAGAGGGAGGUGGAAUUCCCGGUGUAGUGGUGAAAUGCGUAGAUAUCGGGAGGAACACCAGUGGCGAAAGCGGCCUCCUGGGCCGCACCUGACGCUCAGACGCGAAAGCUAGGGGAGCGAACGGGAUUAGACACCCCGGUAGUCCUAGCUGUAAACGAUGUAGACUUGGUGUAGGUGGGGUAAAAGCCAUCUGUGCCGAAGCCAACGCGAUAAGUCUACCGCCUGGGGACUACGGCCGCAAGGUUA
RNAcentral lists this ribosomal RNA (526 nucleotides) under uncultured bacterium. RNAcentral's name for it is "bacterial SSU rRNA". It matches the Rfam family "Bacterial small subunit ribosomal RNA", at positions 355 to 896 of the family's 1533-position model. The record is from RNAcentral.